UUCGCAAUGCCCGAAAGGGUGACGAAGCGACGCCGCGUGUGGGAAGAAGGCCUUCGGGUUGUAAACCACUGUCGGGAGUUAAGAAAUGCAAGGAUAUGAAUAGUGUCUUUGCUUGACUAAGGCUCCGGAGGAAGCCACGGCUAACUCUGUGCCAGUAGCCGCGGUAAUACAGAGGCGGCAAGCGUUGUUCGGAAUUAUUGGGCGUAAAGAGCACGUAGGCGGCUAUGUAAGUCGGUUGUGAAAGCCUUCCGCUCAACGGGAGAACAGCAUCCGAUACUACAUGGCUUGAGUGCGGGAGGGGAGAGUGGAACUUCUGGUGGAGCGGUGAAAUGCGUAGAUAUCAGAAGGAACGCCGGCGGCGAAAGCGGCUCUCUGGCCCAUAACUGACGCUGAGUGUGCGAAAGCUAGGGGAGCAAACGGGAUUAGAUACCCCGGUAGUCCUAGCCGUAAACGAUGGGCACUAAGUAGAGGGGUUUU
This 477-nucleotide ribosomal RNA is filed under the name uncultured bacterium. RNAcentral's name for it is "bacterial SSU rRNA". It matches the Rfam family "Bacterial small subunit ribosomal RNA", at positions 365 to 832 of the family's 1533-position model. The record is from RNAcentral.